RNAcentral lists this ribosomal RNA (252 nucleotides) under uncultured bacterium. RNAcentral describes it as "partial 16S ribosomal RNA". It matches the Rfam family "Bacterial small subunit ribosomal RNA", at positions 525 to 776 of the family's 1533-position model. The record is from RNAcentral.
ACGGAGGGGGCUAGCGUUAUUCGGAAUUACUGGGCGUAAAGCGCACGUAGGCGGAUUAGAAAGUCAGAGGUGAAAUCCCAGGGCUCAACCUUGGAACUGCCUUUGAAACUUCUAGUCUUGAGUUCGAGAGAGGUGAGUGGAAUUCCGAGUGUAGAGGUGAAAUUCGUAGAUAUUCGGAGGAACACCAGUGGCGAAGGCGGCUCACUGGCUCGAUACUGACGCUGAGGUGCGAAAGCGUGGGGAGCAAACAGG